This is a small nuclear RNA of Octodon degus (degu), 108 nucleotides long. The record is from RefSeq and is a predicted model, not a curated record. Lineage: Eukaryota; Metazoa; Chordata; Mammalia; Rodentia; Octodontidae.
GUGCUUGCUUCGUAGCACAUAUACUAAAAUUGGAACGAUACAGAGAAGAUUAGCAUGGCCCCUGCGCACAAGUUGAUUGUUAGUUGUCAAUCUACCCCACACAUCCUC